RNAcentral lists this long non-coding RNA (1171 nucleotides) under Crocodylus porosus (Australian saltwater crocodile). Its description in RNAcentral is "lncRNA (ENSCPRG00005013769.1)". The record is from RNAcentral. Lineage: Eukaryota; Metazoa; Chordata; Crocodylia; Crocodylidae.
CACUGGAUAUUUUGUUUUUCUUUAUCAUCUGGGCCGCACCCAGAGGGCGGUAGUGGAUGGGUUCUUCUCGACCUGGAAGGACGUGGGCAGUGGGGUUCCGCAGGGCUCGGUCCUCGGGCCCGCACUGUUCAACAUCUUCAUCAGUGACUUGGAUGAGGGGGUAGAAAGCACCCUGUUCAAGUUUGCUGAUGACACUAAGAUGUGGGGGGAUGUGGGUGCACUAGAAGGGUGCAAUAGGCUACAAGCUGACCUUGACAGGUUGCAACGGUGGGCGGAUGAGAAUAGGAUGGGGUUUAACACUGAUAAGUGCAAGGUGUUGCACAUGGGGAGGAAGAACCGGCACCACACUUACAGGUUGGGGAACUCCCCUCUUGCCAGCACGGAGACGGAAAAGGAUCUUGGAGUCGUCAUUGACUCCACGAUGAACAUGGGCCGGCAGUGUGGGGAGGCAGUCAAGAAGGCCAACCGUACCCUGUCAUGCAUCCACAGAUGCAUCUCGAGCAGGUCCAGGGAGGUGAUCCUCCCUCUCUAUGCGGCACUGGUCAGGCCGCAGCUGGAGUACUGCGUCCAGUUCUGGGCGCCACACUUCAAGAGGGACGUGGACGAUAUGGAAAGAGUUCAGAGGAGGGCCACUCGUAUGAUCAGGGGUCAGCAGGGCAGGCCUUAUGAGGAGAGGCUAAGGGACCUGAACCUGUUUAGCCUCCACAAGAGAAGGUUAAGGGGGGACCUUGUGGCCUGCUACAAACUAGUCAGGGGGGAUCAGCAGGUAUUGGGGGAGUCCCUGUUCCCCCGUGCGCUGCCAGGAGUGACCAGGAAUAACGGUCACAAGCUGGCGGAGGGUAAGUUUAGAUUAGAUAUUAGGAGGCGCUACUUCACAGUCAGGGCGGCUAGGGCCUGGAACCGGCUUCCAGGGGAAGUGGUGCAGGCUCCAAGCCUGGGGAUUUUUAAAAGGAAGUUAGAUGAGCACCUUGCCGGGGUCAUCUGACCCCGGUGCUCUUUCCUGCUCAGGCAGGGGGUCGGACUAGAUGAUCUACCUAGGUCCCUUCCGACUCUAGCUACUAUGAAACUAUGAAACUAUCUUCCCUGCCCUCAUGAAACAGUGACAGGGCAGGAACCUUCUGAGGUGGCAGAGGGACUCCCACAGGUCAGAAGAGAUGACCGGGACCAGCUG